RNAcentral lists this ribosomal RNA (274 nucleotides) under uncultured bacterium. RNAcentral describes it as "partial 16S ribosomal RNA". It matches the Rfam family "Bacterial small subunit ribosomal RNA", at positions 523 to 796 of the family's 1533-position model. The record is from RNAcentral.
AUACAGAGGGUGCGAGCGUUAAUCGGAAUUACUGGGCGUAAAGCGCGCGUAGGCGGCUACUUAAGUCAGAUGUGAAAUCCCCGGGCUCAACCUGGGAACUGCAUCUGAUACUGGGUAGCUAGAGUUUAGGAGAGGGAAGUAGAAUUUCAGGUGUAGCGGUGAAAUGCAUAGAGAUCUGAAGGAAUACCAGUGGCGAAGGCGGCUUCCUGGCCUAAAACUGACGCUGAGGUGCGAAAGCGUGGGUAGCAAACGGGAUUAGAUACCCGGGUAGUCC